UACUCUAGGCACAAGGCCCGCCAUUUUGGGGGAGGGGGCCAGUCGAUUAGAUCGACACCAGUACGCUACUGGUACUUAAUUUAUCGACCUCGAAAGGGUGAAAGGCAAAGUCGACCUCGAAAGGAUGAAAAGCAAAGUCGACCUCGGCGGAAUUUGAAUUCAGAACGUAAAGACAGACGAAAUAUAUUUUCUACUCUAGGCAUAAGGCCCGAAAUAUUUGUGGAGGGGGUGGGCAGUCGAUUAGAUCGAUUACAGUAUGUAACUGGUACUUAAUUUAUCGACCCCGAAAGGAUGACAGGCAAAGUCGACCUCGGCCGAAUUUGAACUCAGAACGUAAAGACAGACGAAAUGUAUUGAAUGAUGUAAUCGAAACGAAAAUGUUAAGUAGUUGUACUGUAAUUGCUACCAUAGCAACAGAUAGGUUUUCUUGACGUUCACAAACACCCAGAAAGACACUUAGAUAUCUAAACGGCAUGAAAGAAAAAGUACGUGUACCUGCUGACUGUUUCCUGUUCUGUUGUUUAUGCAGUGGUAAUUGCAACUCUAAAACGGUAACAAACCAAAAACAGUGCAAUUCUCCGAAGACAACCAGGGCUAGGACUAUUAUUAUAUAUAACAGCUUCAAUUGGAAAUCCGUCCUUCAGUCUCGAUUUAAUGAUAACAACAAGGAACAGCCACUCAUCACUCCCGAGAUGAUUAGUCACAUACUGACCUAAGACAGGAAUUAUGACUGACCCUAGAUCUGGGGCAAAAUAAUUGUUUCAAAUUUUAGUACAAGGCCAGCAAUUUUAGGGGAGGGAGAUAGUUGGUUACAUUGACCCUAAUACUCAACUGGUACUUAUUUUAUCGACCUCGAAAGGACGAAAAGUAAAGUCGACCUCAAUGAAAUUUGAACUCAUAACGUACAGAACCGAAAGAAAUACCGCUAAGGAUUUUGUUUAACGCUUUAGAGAUUCUGCCAACUCGCCGUCCUUAAUCUGGCAAAAUAAUAAAGAUGUUUCCACCAGA
This is a long non-coding RNA of Octopus bimaculoides (California two-spot octopus), 1008 nucleotides long. Lineage: Eukaryota; Metazoa; Mollusca; Cephalopoda; Octopoda; Octopodidae. The record is from RefSeq and is a predicted model, not a curated record.